Molecule: non-coding RNA, 1592 nt
Organism: Oryzias latipes (Japanese medaka)
Lineage: Eukaryota; Metazoa; Chordata; Actinopteri; Beloniformes; Adrianichthyidae
Source: RefSeq, a predicted model, not a curated record
UAACAUUUUAAAUCAAAUCGGUUCUCGUUUGGAUUCCAUUGGUCGCUUUUAACGGUGCAUGUGGGGAAAGGUUGCAUGACAACUAGGGGAAACUUUUGACAUUUUCCACCAUCACAAUUAAUAUGAUAAUGGACUGGAAAGGCAAAGCUGUCACGUCAUUUAUCAUUGUCAACUUGUGAAAAUAUAUAAAAUGCAUUACAUAACACAUGGAGAAUUAGGAAACUUGUGCUGAAAUAAUGACAUGCGGAGCAUUUUGUUGCAGCAGUUUCCUGCGUGAAGUCGGAGGUUGUGAACACGGGUGGAGGAGUGAGUGUUGUUCUGACAGGCGGCGAGGUUUUCCACCCACAUCAAACUGGGAGCCAAAAGUCUUCACCCGGAGUACCUCAUGAGUGAGCCACUUUGUACUCCGGGCUCAAAAUGGUAUACGACUCCCAAUUAUUGGGGACUAGCAAACACAGGUGUGGAAUCCCAACCUUCUCUACCACCAGUAUCCCCGCAGUGGAAUAAAGACGCUCUUGUCUCAAAGAGGCUGGCGAGGAAGGCCAGAGCCAUGCCAGGCUUUGAACUCUAGAGAGCACUCAGUCUACGUGGUGCUGGAGGCAAAAGAGACCUUUGACAGGUGUGAAGAUGAAUCAGACCACAUCAUUUAUGCAUUUCCACUUCUGAAUUAUUUAGCAGGGUGUGAUUUAUAGAAUUUCAAAACCCUGCAUUUCACCUCUGUCUAAAACAAUCAUCUGCAGCGUCAUUGACAUGAAUACGUGCACGAGUCCAAUUCAACAAGCUGUUGAAGAAAAAAUGACAGAGGUACUUUUUAUCAUGUUGCAAUCUUACAUAUUAAUCAAAGUUGAUUCAUAUAAUUCAAAAUACUUUUCUGAAUCACAUUAAAAUUUGCUCGUCAUAAGUCUAUGUAGAUCUUUUGGGUCUCUCAUGCCGAUAAAGUGUGAGCUACCCUGGUGUAAAGCAGGGAUGCAUUAUGCAAUGAUGGUUUUGUAAAGUUGCUGUAUUAUGUGUGUGAAGUGCUCAUUUAUGUCGGUAUAAAUCCAAAAUAUUUAGGAGAAAUAAAUCUCCAAAGCAGUCAGAAAAAACUGCUUUUCAAUCAGCUUGUGGUGAAGAACUGAGUGGGGAAGGUGUCUGGGGGCGACAGAGAGCAGUGUCUUCAGUAGACAAUGAGAGCUCUGUCUGGGAUUCUGAUGUUGGUGUGGAUGGAGUGGCCCCCGUUAACUUCCAGGCUUUUUGCUUUCUCUGCUUUUCUCCUCUCAUUGAAACACUUAAAUGUCCUUUUAAAGCGCAUCUUCACGCUCAAAUGUUGAACUGGUGACUAAUUGGGUCAAAUUGUAAAUCAUGAACCUUUUUAAACAACCAGACAUUUCAAGGAAGAAAACCUCUGUGUCCAUUAACUUGCUCAAAUUAACAGGACGAUUUAGACUCGGUGAAAUGGGUGCACUGAAAUGUUUCUCCACUUCAGGCUGAAAAUGACAACAGUGGUCAGCUCCUGCAGACUGACUCAGCAAGGUGGAAAGAAUUGAAAAAUGAGCUGUAGCAUCCUGACAUUAUAGUUAAAUAUAAUAAAACUUCAUUCCUUAAUUCAAAAA